Molecule: long non-coding RNA, 1296 nt
Filed under: Capra hircus (goat)
Lineage: Eukaryota; Metazoa; Chordata; Mammalia; Artiodactyla; Bovidae
Description: lncRNA (ENSCHIG00010015897.1)
Source: RNAcentral
CACCUGCCAGUGAGCCUCUGUGGCCGGUGGGCCCUCGACUGUCUGUGUCUGUCUGCCUGUCUCUGUCUCUCUGUGUCUCUGCCUCCCUGUCUGUGUCCGUCUCUCUGUGUCUCUCUGUCCCUCUCUCUCCCUGCCAGCCCUCUUGGCGUCCACCCUCUCUCUGUUUGUCUCUCUCUGUCUCUCUCUCUCUGUGUCUCUGUCUCCCUGUGUCUGUCUCUGUCUGCCCCUGUGUCUGUCUGUCUCUCUGUCUCUGUCUCUCUCUGUCUGUCCCUGUAUCUCUGUCUCUCUGUCUGUCUGCCUGUGUCUCUCUGUCCCUCUCUCUCCCCCAGCCCUCUUGGCGUCCACUUCCUCCCUGUCUCUGUCUGUCUCUCUCUGUGUCUGUCUGUCCCUGAAUCUCUGUGUCUCUGUCCCUGUGUCUCUGUCUGUGUCUCUCUCUCUGUCUCUCUGUGUCUGUCUGUCUGCCCCUGUAUCUCUGUGUCUCUCUCUGUCUCUGUCUGUCUGUCUGUGUCUCUGUCCCUCUCUCUCCGUGUCUCUCUCUGUCUCUGUCUGUCUGUCUCCCCCCAAGCCCUCUCAGCGUUCCCCCACCCCCGGGGCUCCCAGGGUGAGCUGACGCGCUCAGAUCCACCCUCUGCACGUUCUCUUCAGGGACCAACACACUGUCCCCAUGGAAACCAAACAGACGGGAGGAAGCCCGCUCUGGCCCCCCUCAGCCCUGCCCUGCUUCCCNNNNNNNNNNNNNNNNNNNNNNNNNNNNNNNNNNNNNNNNNNUCUCUCCCCCCCAGUCUCUGUCUCUCUAUCUCUGUCUCCCUCUCUCUCUGUCUCUCACGCAUUUCCCUCCAUUCCCCACCCCCAGGCCCAGCCCCCUUCAUCGAGGGCUCCCCAGGACUCUCAGGUGCCUUAGGAUGGGAUCUCACUUCCAUCCCAGCCCCUGGCCCUGAUUCAUUUGACUUUGGGCGUCUUCACCCUGUCGUCAGCAAAGGGAGGCGGCAAGGAGGCUGGCAGAGGGCCGGCGUGGAGGCUGGCAGAGGGCCGCAGGGCCCCAGGAGAGAAUGGGGGAAGCGCUCCUCUCGGGCUGCUGGGGUGAGUGCUUCGGGGUCAUCGCUGACAGUAUUAGCACCAGAGGUCUUUGUGCAAGACGGUGACCCCCUCUGGAUGAAAUACGUCCCCUGGGGAUCAUCUCUGCUCUUUCCUCCCAAAUCAGUGACCGCCCAGAGCCCGCUUCCCCCGGCUCUCUCUAGCUUUAUGCCCUCUAGUGUGGCAGAAUCUGUCUGGGUGGACAAUUCCCCAACUUCCUGA